RNAcentral lists this ribosomal RNA (497 nucleotides) under uncultured bacterium. Its description in RNAcentral is "bacterial SSU rRNA". It matches the Rfam family "Bacterial small subunit ribosomal RNA", at positions 30 to 519 of the family's 1533-position model. The record is from RNAcentral.
AUUGAACGCUGGCGGCAGGCUUAACACAUGCAAGUCGAGCGGGGAAAGGUAGCUUGCUACCUGACCUAGCGGCGGACGGGUGAGUAAUGCUUAGGAAUCUGCCUAUUAGUGGGGGACAACAUCUCGAAAGGGAUGCUAAUACCGCAUACGUCCUACGGGAGAAAGCAGGGGACCUUCGGGCCUUGCGCUAAUAGAUGAGCCUAAGUCGGAUUAGCUAGUUGGUGGGGUAAAGGCCUACCAAGGCGACGAUCUGUAGCGGGUCUGAGAGGAUGAUCCGCCACACUGGGACUGAGACACGGCCCAGACUCCUACGGGAGGCAGCAGUGGGGAAUAUUGGACAAUGGGGGGAACCCUGAUCCAGCCAUGCCGCGUGUGUGAAGAAGGCCUUUUGGUUGUAAAGCAAUUUAAGCGAGGAGGAGGCUACCGAGAUUAAUACUCUUGGAUAGUGGACGUUACUCGCAGAAUAAGCACCGGCUAACUCUGUGCCAGCAGCCGCC